Molecule: long non-coding RNA, 5403 nt
Filed under: Gossypium barbadense (sea-island cotton)
Lineage: Eukaryota; Viridiplantae; Streptophyta; Magnoliopsida; Malvales; Malvaceae
Description: long non-coding RNA (GBAR_LNC003630)
Source: RNAcentral
AAAAAAAAUUUAAAAUAGUGAAUAGCGUACUAAAAAUAAAUAUUAAAAUAAUUAGAAUCGAAAAAUGAGGUAUUAAGACCUCGAGAAUUUUAAAUCGAGCCAUAAAUAUUUUUAUAAAUAUUUAUGGAGCGUUAAUAAGUUAGUAUUAAAGUUUCGUCAAGAAAUUUUAAAGUUCUGAUAGUUAAUUGAACAAAAAGGACUAAAUUGUGUCAAAUGCAAAAUUAUGAGAAAUGAUUAAAUAGCUUAAAUGAUAAAAGAAAGAGGGUUUAAAAGGCAAAUAGACCCAAGGUCUCUUUGGGCUGGACGGCAAGGCAUGAAAUCAGCAAGAAAAUAAGGAGAAUUAAGGGCAAAAUUAGAAAAUUGCAAAAUUUACUUAAUAAAGCUAGGACUAAAGUGGAAUUAUCGAGAUUUCUCUUUAUUUUUCUGCAUUCUCAUCAGAAAAAACACCAUGGAAGAGUUCCUUCAAGCUGGUUUUUCAUAUUUUUACUUCAAGUAAGUUCAAUUCUUGAUUAUUUCUUGAAAUUUUUGUGUUUUUGUGACUUUUACAACUAGGUCCACUUGUUGAAUUCAUUAGUUUUUAAUUCUAUGAAAGAAAUUGAAAGUUGCUAUGAAUAUGUGCUAGAACUAUAUGAUGAUUUGGCAUGGAAUUAGAGCUUUAAAUUGUUUAUGUGCUGAUUUUAUUGAAAGAAUUGAAUAGAAAGUGAAUGUUUAGGACCUAAUUGUAAAAGAGUUUGAAGUUAAAGUUUCAUGUGGAAAUUCUGAAUUUCAAUAGUCAUGAAAUAACUUCUAAUGUCUAGGAAAAGUAUUAAUUGAGAAAAUUAUCUUAAUUGAGGGGUUAAUUGAGUAAGGACUGAAUUGUAUGAAUUGUGAAAUUUGGGGAAAAAUGAAAAUCAACACUUUGUACUAAAACUGUUUUGGACAGUAGCAGUAGUCUAACUUUUAAAAAUCACCAAAAAUUUUAGAAAUGGAAUUAGAGGAUGAAUAAAAUAUGAAAUUAAAGCUUAUUGAGUCUAGUUUCUUAUAGAAGAAAUUAUGUAAGCAACGGAAUUGUAAAUCAUGAAAUAUGAUAAAUUUUGUGAGACAAGGUCAGAAUGAUUUCGGGUUCCCCUGUUCUGAAUUUGAAAAAUCAUAAAAAAUUGGAUAAAAACAAUUAGGGGCUUAAAUUUAUAUGUUUAGAAUCCUGAAUGAGUCUAUUUUCAAGAGAAAUAAACGAGGACAUCAUUCGAAUUCUGUACGAGAAGAUAAUUAAUUUUUAGUGAAGAAGGGUCGGAACUGUCAGACAGCAGAACAGAGGAGAUUUCAAUGAGUAAACUGUAUUAAUUGGCCCAACCAAAAAUUAUGAAAUUUUUAUGGCAAGAAAACAUAUGAGCCUAGUUUCUGGGAAAAUUUAUUGAUCUUAAUUUCGAGUUCUGUAGCUUAAGAUAAAAAUGAUUUAGUGACUAUGACACGGAUGGACAGCUUGAAUAUUCACAUAAGUAAAUAGUGAAAAUUAUGGAUGAUGUUACUUACAAGUGUGUUAUUUAUACUAAGGAUGUGGAUGGAGAGGAGGAGGAGGAAAAAUAAAUAUAUAUAUGAAUGACUUGAUCACAUGCCCGAUUAUAAUCGAUAAAUGUUGAAUUAGAAAUGAUAUAAUGUUUUAUUUGGAAUAUUUAUUAUGAAAUUAUGAAUAUCGUUAUAAUACAAAAAUCGUACUUGUGAGUUUGUAUAACUAAAUUUUAGUAACCAUUUGUUAAUUUUAUGAAUUUCAUGAUGUGUUAUUUUAUAUGUAUUGAUGAUAAAAUCGCGAAUAAUGUAAAAACAUGAAAAUUGAAUAAAUGAUCAAAUUGAGCAUUACAAUUCAGUGACAAGAUGAAUUGAAGGAAAAGACCAUGGUUGGACCAUGGCAACAAGUGAUAAGUGAUAGCUUCGGCUACACUUAUCUGAUCAAUGACAAGUGAAAGUGAUAAGUGAUAGCUUCAGCUACACUUAUCUGUUCAAGGACAAAUGAAAGUGAUAAGUGAUAGCUUCGGCUACACUUAUUUGAUCAAGGAUAAGUGAAAGUGAUAAGUGAUAGCUUCGGCUACACUUAUCUGAUUAAGGACAAAUGAAAGUGAUAAGUGAUAGCUUCAGCUACACUUAUCUGAUCAAGGACAAAUGGCAAGUAAAAAGUGGUAGCUUCGGCUACCUGAUCAAUGAAAAGUGGUAGCUUCGGCUACUUGAUCAUCAGCUACUUGAUUAGUGAAAAAUGGUAGCUCCGGCUACCUGAUCAGUGAAUAGUGAUAGCUUCGGCUACAAGUGACAAGUGAUUUCUGUGUAAGACCAUAUCUGGGAUAAGACAUCAGUGUGAUAUGUGUAUAAAAUGUAAGACCAUAGCUGAGCUAUGGCAUUCUAAUGAAAAGACCAUAGCUAUGCUAUGGCAUCAGUGAUUGUCAGUGAAAUUCAGUGCAUACCGGUGCAGACCAAUUCUGUAAGAUGUUCACUAAUUUGAAAAAGUUUGGUAAGUAUUACAUGGAAUUAUGUGACAUAAGGAAAUACGAGUUGAUGAGACAUGAGCAUAAAACCGAUUGAUGAAUGAGUUCAUUUGUGAUUAUAUAUUUCUACGCCUUGAGUGUAUUAUCCGUAUGAAUUGGUAUUCCAAAUGAGUUAAUGAGAAAACUUCUAGUAUGAAAUAAUCUGAGUUCGAAAUGAAAUAUCAUGAAAACGUACCUGAAAUACAUUGGUAUGUCUUGUAUAUGCUAUUUGAAUUCAUGAAUGUGGGAAGUAAAUGUAUGUGGAAAUAAGAGAUGAUGAUAUCUGUACAUGGAAUUUAUUGAUGAAUACGUACAUCCAAAUUUAUAUGAUAGAUUUUAGUGUACAUUGAAAUUGGGCUCAAUAAGUGAUUUGGCAAUUUAAAUCGUGAUUGGCAGGAAGAGUUAGUGAAUUGCAAAUUUAUGAAUUGUUACACGUAUUUGUCUGAAAUACGAGGAAGUGAUGGCAAUUGAUACAUGUAAAUUUGAGACUAUGAUAUAUAUAUAAAAACAUGGAAUAUGUUUGAUAAAUGUGUUCAUUUAUAACUACGGAAUUAUGUACCUCAUGUGUGUUAUUUGCAUAAAGAUGAUAUUUCAAAGACUUUAGUGAAUAAAGCUUUAAUACGAAAUAGUAUGAAAUCGAGACAAGUUGCUAUGAAAAUGUAUUUAAAUUAUCUCUAAGUGUUUCGUGCUUCUCGGUAAUGCCUCGUACUCUAUUCCAGCGACAGAUACGGGUAGGGGUUGUUACAUUUAGUGGUAUCAGAGCUACGGUCUAGUCGGUUCUCGGACCGAACAUAACAUACGUGAAGUCUUGAAAUACAUGCCAUAUAAAUCUUUGAUAGUGUGAUGUGUAUGAUCCGGUCUAAUCUUUAUUUUACAUAUAGACAGAAAUACUUUUCAAUCGAGCUAUUUCAUAAAUUGUUGAAAGUGACACUAAGGUGUCUGAGUAAGAAUGUGUUUAAGAUGAGUUGAAACUUGAAAAGGUAUGAAAAAGAGUUCAUGAUAUGGAUGUGAUGAGGUACGAAAUGAACUAGUCAUAAAUUGCGAAAUAUGGGAAAAGUGAAAUGAAAUGAAAGUUUAUCUUGUGAUGAGCGCAUCUCUGUUUGUGUGACAUUCAUAUGAUAUUAUGUGCCUGACUUGUUUGAUUAAGUAAAUGCUAUGAGUGAACUUACUCAAAAUUCAUGGAAUGUAUGUUUAAGUACACUUGUUUAAAAAUGAUAAUUGAAAAGUUCAUGUAACAUAAUUAUGUAUGUUAAUUUGCUUGAAGUGAAUUAUGUAAUUGUAAGGAUAUGAUGUUGAUGAUAAAUGCUAAAUCUUAUGUAUGUAUUUAUGAGAGUCCAGUUAGAGGCUUUACGACCUCACCCCCUUAUCAAUGUGGUAUUUUAUAACGAAAAUUCACGAGAAUUAUGUUGAAUAGUUCACAAGUGUGAAACUAAAGAGUACAGUAGUGAAAUAAUUAAUAAUGCAGACGGAGUUAAAAAUAGUUUGACAAGUGAAUACAGUUUUGAAAAAGAUAUCAGAUUAUUCUAAAGAUCAUUCAGAUUACGUAAUGUCACGGUUAAAGAAAAAGUUAACCUUGGCUAAUCGACUUAUUCCGAUAUGAUGUCUAAAGUAUGUGGUUGCUGAAGUUUUUCCCAAAUUGGUUUUCGUUAGUGAAUGGAAUGAUGCAAGGUUCAUGAUGAUAGAAUUAGUCAGAGAAAUGAUAAUUGAAUAGUAAAGAUGUCUGUGUGUGUGACAAUUAUAGUUGAAAUGAAUAUGAUGAUCUUUUCUGGGUAUUAUAUAUAUUCUUUUAUCAUCAAAUAUUUGUGUUUGGUUGUUUAGUUUUUGAUGGAGUUCUUACGUUGUGAGAAUGCUAGCUAACUAUGAUGUUAGACAAAAGCCCUGUUGGUCUAGUCGAUUUAUGAUCAGUAUUUCUUCAUCUCUUUGGAAUUUUAUUCUAAUAUGUUGGAAUGAAGUCGAUGGUAAAAAUUUAUAUGAGACUAUUCUUAUGUUUCUACUGAUUAUGAUUUUAUUUUAUACAUUCGGAAAAUAUAUUAUCUUUGUUAUGAUGUUUUUAGUAGGUAAGCAGUGUUUUUUUCUUUUGACUUUCUCUGAGGAAUUAUCAAGAUCUUUAUUAUCUUCUUGUGUGUUAGAUGUGCUAGUGAUUGCAAGCGCGCUACAUAAAUAUUUUUGAGUUCAAGCCGAAUAUCAAGAGCAUUCAGGAUUAUUGCAGUCAGUGAUAAUACUAGUGCGAUAUGAGAUAGAAUAGCUAUAGAUUUCGAAUUGGGAUUGUCAUUAACAUCAGAAAGGAAAAUGUUAUUUAGUUUAUGGUUAAUCAUUUCACAAAGAAAGAUCUGUAUGAUCAUUUCAGUAGGUACAGAGUUUUUUUUAUUUGACAGAUCAACUAAGUAUUUGUAUUCCUAAGAGGGUAAUUUAGAAUUUUGACAAUAAGUUCCAACAUUUAUUCCAGAGUUCAAAGGUGACUGGAAAAAAAAUAAUAUUCGAGGUUAAACCGAAUUGUGAUUUUGAGAAGUUAGUAAAAGUGUUUCAUGAAUAUUGAAAGCAACUUUUUCUAAUAAGAUUUUCGGGGACGAAAAUCCCUAAAGGGGGGGAGAGUUGUAACAGCCUAAUUUUCAGUGGUGUCAGAACAGUGAUUUGAGAUCACUAAAUCCGACAAAUGAGUAGGAAAUAUUAUUAAUUUAGUGAGAAUAAGUUAAAUGUGAAGUUAGGGAAAAAAAUUUAAAAUAGUGAAUAGCGUACUAAAAAUAAAUAUUAAAAUAAUUAGAAUCGAAAAAUGAGGUAUUAAGACCUCGGGAAUUUUAAAUCGAGCCAUAAAUAUUUUUAUAAAUAUUUAUGGAGCGUUAAUAAGUUAGUAUUAAAGUUUCGUCAAGAAAUUUUAAAGUUCUGAUAGUUAAUUGAACAAAAAGGACUAAAUUGU